Molecule: long non-coding RNA, 5627 nt
Organism: Columba livia (rock pigeon)
Lineage: Eukaryota; Metazoa; Chordata; Aves; Columbiformes; Columbidae
Exons: 2
Source: RefSeq, a predicted model, not a curated record
CCCUGUCCCUUCUUCUCCAGCCGGGCAGCCCCCUGGGGCUGCCGCCGCUACAACCGCUGCCGACAGCCCGGUGGCCCCGAUGAGCCACCCCGCCCUUCCACCGGGCUUUUUCUUGUGCGUGGAGUGGCCGGUGGAGACUUUUCCGUGCUGUGUGUCACAGCUACUUGAUGUGCUGAUUUUUUUCCUACCCUAUUUUCUCAUUAACUCACAAGAAGGUUGUGGCAAGAACACCCGUUUCCGGAAACGCUUGAACAUCCCUAGAAUUGGCUUGGAGCCAAAAGAGCACUGUCUCUUCAAACACGUUUUGCAUUCUUCACACUACAGCACUAAAGAAAAUCGGUGUUUCCACUUCCACGGCCAUUGCACAUCCUGUGGUGGGUCAGAGUCCAGAAGCACCGAGCCUUCAUAAGCUCUGUCCUCUGCCUCGGAGGGUGACGCUCCCUCCAGAAACGCCCCCGCCUCUCAGAGGAGGGACAGACAGCUGCUGCUGUCCCGGGGCUGCAGGCUGGGCUCUCAAACGAGCCGAGUUCCCAGGUCACUCCCAACAACUCGGCUUUCGGCUCCUGGAGUGAAAUGCAACCUUUGCAAGCACCUGAUGCCGCUGCCCUGCCGGGCUGGGCACAGGAGCCCUUCGCCGUGACCAGGGCAGGGAGAUGCAACGCUGGGCUUGACUCGCUGCGGAGCUGCAGGGCUGCUGUGCCAUCCGGCAGCAGAGGGGGAUGAAGUGCCAGCUGGGGCAGUGACAGGGACUGUGCCAGUCAGCGCAGGCAGGUGACAGGAGCAACCGCGAAGCCACUAAUGAAAUGCAAAGAGUACAGCAGGGGAAAGAGCACUGGAUCAGCACCCGGUGGAUUGUCCCUUCGUUUUCUGUUGACUAUCAGUGUUCUUUAUUGAAUUAUUGAUUUCUUUUUACUGAUGUAUGGUUGGUCAUAUGCAUACGUUUGGGGAUUUUUUGGAUAUUCGUUUUCCUUUCUUCACUGUUUUUGCCAGUGCCUAACCAGACUCUCUUGAAUGGAGCUUGGGACUUGAUACAAGGCUUCGUGCAAAUUUGGAAGCAGAGGGACCAGGGGAUGUGUCUCCAGCAAUACUACAGCGUGUUUCAAAAACACGGUCCCAAUUUCACACGCAGAGUGAUUUCCAAUUGGGUCCAUCUUUCCGAAACAUCCUGUGCUUGGGGAGAGUUGUGGAAACCAACUUGAGAUGGGUCCUAUGUUACCUCUGUUCCUGCUCCUCGUCCCAUAGUGCCGUGGCGGGAUUCCUCCUCUGAGGGUGGUUCUUUUGAAGUAAAUAAAACGUCUGUUGGAAGGAAUUGUGGGAAUUCAAAGACAUGGUUCUUACACCUUUGGACAAAUGUUUGCGUUAAAAACGGAGGCAAAUUUUCUCUCCUUCUCCCUAUAUAUGUGUAUGCAGACUGUAUAGUUUAUAAAGACAUGUAAAAAUAGAAAAUUAAAUCGAUCAAUGUGUGCACACGGAAGCCCACAGGAGACCACCGGAGAUUGCUGGAGAUUGCAGGAGACCGUCCGGAGACCGAAGGACACCGCUAGAAACCACAGGACACCAUUGGCUCUGUGUCUUGGUUUAAAAAGGAAGAAGGUUUUCACAUUUCAGCAAACAAUUAAGACUUUGGUUUUCUCUCUCCUUCUCCCUAUAUGUGUGUCUAUGGACAAUAUAGUUUAGAAAAAUAUGUACAUAUAGACAAUAACAGCUAUAAAUGCAGGCACAGAGAAGCCCGCUGGAGACCGUGGGAGACCGAAGAAGGCCGCUGGAAACCACAGGACGCCACUGGAGAACGUCGGAGACCAAAGGACACCGUGGGACCUGCACCUUGCCUGAAAAAAGGAAAAGUUUCUUAACAUUUUACAAAUACUUCAGCCUUUUCCUUUCUCUCUCCCUCUGUAAAUACUAGAAAUGCAGUACGGGAGGAAGGGAGAAAAAGUCGUCUUUUGAACUUACAAUCAUUAUGAUGCGAUCUGCUACAAUAAUCGAUUUUGGCAUUAAAAGUAACACGCUCCUAGUAAAACAUGCUCCUCUAGUAAAAAACCACCAAAGAUUUGUAUCAGUUCUAGUGUAACAUUGUAUCUGCUGAGACUGUGGCUUCCCUAGAUGUCAGCUGGGGAAUAGAGAGGCUGCAGGAAAGUUCGUUGACAGAAAGUGGGAAACGUGGAUUUUUUUUCCCAGUUAACUUUUUCUUUCCCCUUUCCUCUUCUUCCCACCCCUGUUUAGGCUCACGACCUUCCAAAAGCUGUUGCGGCAGAUCACACACAGGUCCCUGCCGUUUGCUCGAACUCUGUAACACCAUCAGGCAGAUACGUUCUUGGGAUAUUGUCUUGCGUGCUGCUGGGCCAAGAAGUGACACGAACGCCGUGUAAACACGGGCAGUGAUGGCUCCUGGUCAGCAGUCACAGGCUGGCCUCAGUAAUUGCUGUGAGACUAAUCCCACACAGGAGCAACAGUAUAUGCUUCUGCCUUGUCAGCUUCAUGAACAGGGCAAGUGGAGGGGAAAAAUGCUCUUCUGUUAACUUCAAGUCAUCACCUAUGCUAUCUGCAGCAAUAAUCGAUUUGUUGAAAAAACUGGGAAACUUUGAUUUUUUUUUCCCCCAUUAACCCUUUUCCCCCCCUUCCGCUUUUUCCCAUCCCUGUUUAGGCUCACAACCUUGCAAAGGCUAUUGCAGCAGCUCACACAUUUCUUCUGAAGCAUCCAGAUGCUGAAAUGAGGCAGAGAAGUGUGGCCUACUGUCAGAGCAGACCUGAGGCUGAGCAGCAAAUGAGAGACUUGGAGACAGAAGCUGACGAGGUUUGGGCAGGAAUUCGUAACGGGGCUGUAGGAAGAAGUACUGGAAGUAAGGCUGGACUGGCAACAAAUCCACACUGUGUUUUGGCAAAAGAGGGACACGGUUAGGUUGAUUACUCCCCUGUCUUGUAGAUGACAGGGACUGAUUUGGGGCCAGCACCCCAAAGGCUUCCUCCCAAAGGUGCUGGGCGGAGUUGGGGUGGGCGGGACUGCACACGCGUGGCUCUGUCACCCCCGUGUCACAAUGCCAGCACCCGGCAAUGCAGCGCUCACAAUGCCCCGAGCAGGACCAAAAGGAGCAGCCGGGUCCCGUGUCCACUGCCAGAGCUGGCCCGGGGGCAGCCGCAACACAUCCCGGAGGAAGCACUUGAGGAGCUGGUGGAAUCACAGGGCAGGGGCUGAGGGAGGAAGAGCUUGCAUGAGGCUGCUGGAGGUUCUCCACUGCAAGGUGAUCUGCGGGCAGGGCCACCUUCCAAGCUCAGCUCACGGAUGGAAAUCCUUUUGAGCUGGAUAGCAGUGGAGAGACCAAGGGCAUUUCUUCUGUGCUUGCAACACCCACUGGUGUCCCACCAGGCACAGGAAGGAGUCUUGCCCCCAAGGACCAUCAGCUCAGAGGCAUUUGGGCACUCUCGGAAGUCCGGGAGAUGGCUCCGGCUCGAGGUAGGACAGGGUAGGAUAGGCUAGGGCUUGGGCAGGUCCUGGGGGGCGUGAGCAGCCUGUGCAUGGGACGAGGAGCCAGGUCUGGCUCACAUGCUCAGGGAACAGCCGAUCGCCAGCACUGGGGUCAGGAAGGAAUUUUUUCCCCCGGGGCAGAUUGGCACUGGUCCCCGGGGGUUUUUUGCCUUCCUCUGCAGCACUGAGCACGACCACUUUGCAGAGCUCCUCUGGGCCCUUUUGGCUCGGUUCCUGCCCGCUGCUCAAGCACCAGGAAGAUGGCCUCUCGUGCCCCGCAGCUGGGGGGAGGAAGGCUUUUUUGCCUUCCUCUGCAGCGCUGAGCACGGCCCCUUCCCACGGCUUCUUUGGGCCAUUUGGGCUGGGCGCCUGCUGCUCCACCAGUUGGCCCUAAACUUAGCUAGAACAGCCUACCUAAACCAGCACAGAACAACUCACCUAAACCAACCUUAAACAACCUAAACCAGUCUGCCUUCAAAAACUUCAAUCAGCCACCUACAACCUAAGCAGAACCUUAAACAAUCUACGACAAAUUACCUAAACCAACCUAAACCAAACAAAAGAAACCAACCUAAACACCCUAAAACAAACCUACCCAAACCAAAUGAUCUAAAAAAUCCUACCUAAAACAAUCUAAAACUACAUAAACCGGCAUUUCUCAGCCAACCUCAAGCAACCUGUAACCAAACAAGCUAAACAAACCCAAACCAACCAAUCUUAACCUAAAACAACCAUUAAACAAUCUCAAACAACUUCAAAACAAUCUGAUAAAGGAUAAAACUACCUAAAGCAACCCAUCUAAACCAACCUCAAAAACAGGAAAUCGAAUGACACAACCUGACCAAAAUGACCUCAAGCAAACAACCCAAAGCUAAAUAGAACCACUGAAACCAGCCUACAAUCGCCAAGCUAAAAACCAAUCUAAAUCAACUAAACUUCAACAACGAAGCUAAAACCCCCUAAAAAACCUCAACAACCAAACUCCAACCACCAGCCACCCUACCCCAUGCAGUGUCUCACUUGGAUGUGUCUGCAGUCUUGGAAGCUUGACUACCCCAGGUUCUCCUACAAAUGGACCCUGAGCUUGUUUGGAGGUUCUCAAGCACAGCGCAGCUACCGUAUCCCCUUGACCUAGCAAUGGUUCGCCUCUAGCGGGGAAGGUCGUCCUCUUUGAGCAAGGCAGGGAAACACGUGGAGCAGGGAAGGAGGACGGGGACAUCUGCUGAGACAGCACAAACAGCCCCAUCGAGCCUGGUGAUUAGUGGGGGGACGCAUGUCCCAGCGAGAUUGCAGUCACAUCCAAAUCAUCCAGACACAACCUAAAACCAACAAAACACCAUGUAAAUCUAACCAAAGCACCUAAAGCACCCUCAACAACCAAUCUAAACCACCCCAACCUGAAGGAACCCAUCUUCAAACAUGCAACGUAAAAAACACUGCCUAAAACAACCUACCAAAAAGGAACUAAACCAACCUAAACCAAACAACCUGAACCAACCUCAACAGAAACCCUUCAGGCAACCUAAACAAUGUAAACCAAACCUGCCGAAACCAACCUACCUGAAAACACAGACACCCACCAACCCACCUAAACCGCCUACUGAAAACAAACAACCUAAAAUAACCAACCAACUUAAAAUCAUCUAAACAAACCUAAACCAAACUACUGAAAACGGCCUCAACGAAAACAGCUUCAGAUACGCCACCUACAACAACCAACGGAAGACACCUUCAACCAAAAAUCACCUACAUCAAGCAACCUGAACCCACCAGCCUUCGACAACCAGCCUCUCACAACCACCCUCAAAGAACCUGCCUCAAACCAACCUCAAACGACCGCAACAAACUGAACCAAGCUCGUAAAACCAGAAACCUCAACCAAACUAACGCAACCAGUGCUAAAGAAGCGUCAGAAAACAGCACCAACCAAAGAACCCAGCCAAACCAAGAAAAGUAAACCUCCAAAGCUAAACAACAUAGAUCAGCGGUAAGAAAAUCACAUCACACAGCCUAAACCAACCCACCUAAACUAACCAACCGAAACCAAGCUAAACCAUCAAACCUGAAACAAGCAAUCUGAGACCCCCUACCUCAACCAAACUUAAAAACGUAUAAACUGACCUAAACCAACCAAAUGAAACCAACUUAGAAAAACCCAACAAAA